AGCUCUAUCAAUGGCACUGCCGUCGUCGUCUCCGACGACGGCGACGUUGGAUAGUUGCAAAGAUCAUCGUCGGUUUCGGAGGCUGUCAUGGAUGGAGGCUAGCACUUCAGAGGAGGCAGAUGAUGCAGUGCUGCUGCUGCACGAGAAGAGCAAGAGCUGAUGGAUUUUGUUGGAGCUGUGUAGGCAAGUCUGAUGCUUGGCUGAUUUUCUCAUACCGUGUUCUUGAGAGAGGCAAUCCUUUUCCCUUUCAAUUCUCUACCUAUUAAUUUCGUGGUUCAGGUUUGUUGUUCAUUUGUGAUUCUGUGCUGUUCGAUUGUUUUUGUUCUAUAUACUUCUGUAAAGAUCAUUUGAUGGUAUUGGUCUAUGAAUAAUCGAUC
Molecule: small RNA, 377 nt
Filed under: Oryza sativa Japonica Group (Japanese rice)
Lineage: Eukaryota; Viridiplantae; Streptophyta; Magnoliopsida; Poales; Poaceae
Description: sRNA Os03g0143200
Source: RNAcentral